UGGCAGAUUAGCUCAGUGGCAGAGCGAAGUGACACUCCCCACUUAGGUCGGUGGUUCGAUUCCGCCAUCUGCAGA
Molecule: transfer RNA, 75 nt
Filed under: Suttonella ornithocola
Lineage: Bacteria; Pseudomonadati; Pseudomonadota; Gammaproteobacteria; Cardiobacteriales; Cardiobacteriaceae
Description: tRNA-???(actc)
Rfam family: tRNA
About the family: Transfer RNA (tRNA) molecules are approximately 80 nucleotides in length. Their secondary structure includes four short double-helical elements and three loops (D, anti-codon, and T loops).
Source: RNAcentral